RNAcentral lists this ribosomal RNA (440 nucleotides) under uncultured bacterium. RNAcentral describes it as "partial 16S ribosomal RNA". It matches the Rfam family "Bacterial small subunit ribosomal RNA", at positions 338 to 795 of the family's 1533-position model. The record is from RNAcentral.
CCUACGUGCGGCUGCAGUGAGGGAUAUUGGUCAAUGGGGGAAACCCUGAACCAGCAACGCCGCGUGAGGGAAGACGGUUUUCGGAUUGUAAACCUCUGUCCUCUGUGAAGAUGAUGACGGUAGCAGAGGAGGAAGCUCCGGCUAACUACGUGCCAGCAGCCGCGGUCAUACGUAGGGAGCAAGCGUUGUCCGGAUUUACUGGGUGUAAAGGGUGCGUAGGCGGCUUUGCAAGUCAGAAGUGAAAUCCAUGGGCUCAACUCCGGCACGGCCUCUGAUACUGUCGGGCUAGAGUUUAGUUGCGGUAGGCGGAAUGUAUGGUGUAGCGGUGAAAUGCAUAGAGAGCAUACAGAACACCGAUUGCGAAGGCAGCUUACCAAACUACGACUGACGUUGAGGCACGAAAGCGUGGGGAGCAAACAGGAUUAGAUACCCGUGUAGUC